This 1070-nucleotide long non-coding RNA is filed under the name Aotus nancymaae (Ma's night monkey). Its description in RNAcentral is "lncRNA (ENSANAG00000039351.1)". The record is from RNAcentral. Lineage: Eukaryota; Metazoa; Chordata; Mammalia; Primates; Aotidae.
GGUGUCUUCGUUCUCGUUGGUUUCGAAGAAUGUCUUUAUUUCUGCCUUCAUUUCAGUGUUUAUCCAGUCAACAUUCAGGAGAAAGUUGCUCAAUUUCCAUGAGGCUGUGCGGUUCUGGGUUGGCUUCUGAAUUCUGAGUUCUAACUUGAUUGCACUGUGGUCUGACUCAUCAUAAAUUUUUUAUGAUACAUUUCUUAAAUUGACAAGUAAAAUUAUAUGGAGUCACCCAUCACUAUUCCUGGGUGACUGGUUCCAGGAUCCUCACUGAGAUGUGAGAAUCUGCAGAUGCUCCAGCCUCUGACAUGAAAUGGCUUAGUGAGUGCAUAUAACCCUGCACGUCCUCCUGUGUAUGUCAGAUCCUCUCCGGAUUACUUAUCAUUCCUGAUACAGGCUACGCACAGCUUCACUCGGGUCCAUUCAACAUACUCAUGCUUUUUGAAAUAUUGGGGAUUUUUUUUCUCUGAAUAUUUUUGAUUUAUAUUUUGUUACACGAACAGCUGUAAACCCUGCAGAUAUGGAGGACCGACUGUGUAUUUAUCAUGUGAAAGAUGAUGUUUUGAUAAGUGUCCUUGUGGAGAUGAGACUAACAAGGGCGAUGACCCUGCAAAUGUUUCAUGUUGGAAUUACCCUGCAAGCUUUCCAGGUCUGCGGAGAGUAGGAACAGCACUUGUCCAUCUGAUUCACGAUCCUUGGAACCUCCUAUAUGCUGCAUCUUUGGAUGGAAAUUGGAGUCCCAGGGACAAAUCAGGCUCCACCUGCUUCCAGAAGCUCCCAGUCCAGGGGCAGUGGGGACCACAGACAUUGUAAGCGAGAGAGAGCCACGUUCAGAUUCAUGGUGUGAGGAAGAGCGAUCCCCUAAGAUGCAGACUCAUGCCUUCAGGUCCCAGCUCCUGCCUUGGGCUAGAGACCAUCCCGCCGAUGAGGAACACACACCCGCGUGGUCCCAUCCCGCUUCCGCACACGGCCCUGAGGUCUCCGGCCUCUGCUUCAUGAGACUUACUCCUUUUGUUGGACCACCAGCGACGAAUGAGAAAGAAGAGGAGGAUGGUGAAGGGGAUGAUGACCACUGA